CUUGCCCCUAGAGGCAUUAUGGAUGUAACUGCUGUGUCACAUGUGUGUCAUUAGGUGGCAGAGAGAAGAGAGGCNNN
Molecule: small nucleolar RNA, 77 nt
Filed under: Erinaceus europaeus (western European hedgehog)
Lineage: Eukaryota; Metazoa; Chordata; Mammalia; Eulipotyphla; Erinaceidae
Description: Small nucleolar RNA SNORA17 (ENSEEUG00000022200.1)
Rfam family: Small nucleolar RNA SNORA17
About the family: snoRNA ACA 17 belongs to the H/ACA family of snoRNAs and is predicted to guide pseudouridylation of the 28S rRNA at positions U4659 and U4598.
Source: RNAcentral